UAACGAGAAAAACAGUAUAAUAUGUGUGGGUACAGUAAAUGAGUAAGAGGAAAAUUACAGCCUAAACACAAACACCGCAGAAAUGUAAAAACAGCCCUGGUCCUUGACAGGUGCAUAGUCACCAUAUGGACAAGCGGAAUCAGGACAAAAACCCCAGGUACCUAACCCAAUAAAACACGGACACUAGGAUAUAUGGGUCAAAAUUGUCUACAGCUUUUAUUAAAUAGUAAAAAAAAUGUACAUAAAAAAGGUAAUUGCCCCACACCCUGCCAUCACAUCCGUAUCCUUCAGUUAGAUAUAAACCCUACCAGAUUCUGAGCCACCGACAGGGCUCGAAACCUACCAAACUUACAAAGAACCAUCUUCACCAUUUCCAUAACCAUCCUAAUGGGGAGCCUGUUUCCUAUUCCUCAGCUCUCUAUCCCACUGUUGUGAAAGAAUGGGACAACCCAACCUUAUAAUAACCCAGGGAGGGAGGGAGUGACAAACUCAGUCAGGCAGGCAAGUUAAAAAGCAAGCCCCGGGCAGGGGUGGCGGGGCAGGUCACCUGGAGGAGAUGGCAAGAGCCGUAGUCCCAGGGGAAGAGGUAUGAUGAUUCUCGGCGUGAGGCCUUGGUGUCAGG
Molecule: non-coding RNA, 622 nt
Organism: Pelobates cultripes (western spadefoot toad)
Lineage: Eukaryota; Metazoa; Chordata; Amphibia; Anura; Pelobatidae
Source: the annotation of a GenBank genome assembly